UAUGCCAUUACACUUGCUUAAUGUUUUAGAGUUGCCAUUGCUGUGGCUUUGGGUGUUACAAGUUUUUAACAGAUAAUGUGAUCUUUUUGGCAUGUUGGAACCUGGAUGGUAGUUUUUUAUCUCAUACAAAUAGCACGAAAAAUUAAAUGUUGCUUCUUUGAGGGAGUAUUUUGCAGAGUGCUCGUGUUUCUGAGAUUAUAUGAUAGAUAAACACUAUUGUGUUCAAUACACUUUAUCAGUUAUUGGAAAAUUUUUUCUUCGGUUCCUUUUCUUGCUCACUUACUCCUGUGUUAUUUGUUGCCAUGUUGUAAUUUUUGUACGGCCCUACAAAUUUGUUUAUUUCUUUACUUUUCCUUUGUAUCAAUGAUCAGUAAUCCAUACUGCAUUGUUGUGCGAUAUUUAUAGUUUACUGAGUUGGUAAAACUUUCCUGCCAGAACUUCUUUAAUCAUGUGCAUCAACUGUUACUGUAAUCAUUUCAAAAUUCAGUCUUUUUCUUCUGUUGCAAGCAUUCAUGAAAUAUAUAUGUAUUCAAACUGUUAUUGUUUUCUUUUCAAAGUUUCUUCCUAUCUGGACAACUAGAGCACAAUGCUUCUUUGUAGCUUGUUCUAUAUUCUUAUUUUGUGGAUGUUUCACCCUCUUUUUCGUAAGUCAAGUGUGGAGUGUUAUGGGGUUGUGAAAAUGGAUGUAUUUGUUUUCAGUCAAGUUAAUAGUGAUAUGCAUUUCAUUGUCAAAUGAUUUUAAUAAUUA
This 748-nucleotide unclassified non-coding RNA is filed under the name Hevea brasiliensis (rubber tree). The record is from RNAcentral. Lineage: Eukaryota; Viridiplantae; Streptophyta; Magnoliopsida; Malpighiales; Euphorbiaceae.